AUUGAACGCUGGCGGCAGGCCUAACACAUGCAAGUCGAGCGGAUGAAGGGAGCUUGCUCCUGGAUUCAGCGGCGGACGGGUGAGUAAUGCAUAGGAAUAUGCCUGGCAGUGGGGGAUAACGUCUGGAAACGGGCGCUAAUACUGCAUACGUCCUGCGGGUGAAAGUGGGGGAUCUUCGGACCUCAUGCUAUCAGAUGAGCCUAGGUCGGAUUAGCUAGUUGGUGGGGUAAAGGCCUACUAAGGCGACGAUCCGUAACUGGUCUGAGAGGAUGAUCAGUCACACUGGAACUGAGACACGGUCCAGACGCCUACGAGAGGCAGCAGUGGGGAAUAUUGGACAGUGGGCGAAAGCCUGGUCCAGCCAGGCCGCGUGUGUUAAGAAGGUCUUCGGAUUGUAAAGCACUUUAAGUUGGGGGGAAGGGCAGUAGGUUAAUACCUUGCUGUUGUGACGUUACCAACAGAAGAAGCACCGGCUAACUUCGUG
RNAcentral lists this ribosomal RNA (484 nucleotides) under uncultured bacterium. RNAcentral describes it as "partial 16S ribosomal RNA". It matches the Rfam family "Bacterial small subunit ribosomal RNA", at positions 30 to 507 of the family's 1533-position model. The record is from RNAcentral.